UGGGGGAUAUUGCACAAUGGGCGCAAGCCUGAUGCAGCGACGCCGCGUGGGGGAUGAAGGCCUUCGGGUUGUAAACUUCUUUUGCUCUGAACAAGGCAUGCCUGUGGGGUGUGUUGAGUGUAGGGGUUGAUUAGCGCCGGCUAACUACGUGCCAGCAGCCGCGGUAAUACGUAGGGCGCGAGCGUUGUCCGGAAUUAUUGGGCGUAAAGGGCUUGUAGGUGGCUGGUUGCGUCUGUCGUGAAAGCUCAUGGCUUAACUGUGGGUUUGCGGUGGGUACGGGCUGGCUUGAGUGCAGUAGGGGAGGCUGGAAUUCCUGGUGUAGCGGUGGAAUGCGCAGAUAUCAGGAGGAAUACCGGUGGCGAAGGCGGGUCUCUGGGCUGUUACUGACACUGAGGAGCGAAAGCAUGGGGAGCGAACAGG
Molecule: ribosomal RNA, 420 nt
Filed under: uncultured Varibaculum sp.
Lineage: Bacteria; Bacillati; Actinomycetota; Actinomycetes; Actinomycetales; Actinomycetaceae
Description: bacterial SSU rRNA
Rfam family: Bacterial small subunit ribosomal RNA
Source: RNAcentral